CAUUUUCGUAUGGAAACUAUACAUGGAUACAUCAAGAAGGUGUACAAUAACUUGAUUCGACUUUAAGCUGUAUCAGCAACAAAGUCUUGUAUCACUGUGCGUAUCGCAACAGGAAUUCUUACUGAGUGGGUACUUCCAUCUGACCAAGUCAAGCUCCCAAAAGUGUAUCCGCCUUGAACUCUCUGCCUUGUCUUAAAUGUCACUGUAAAUGUCGCUCUUCUACUGCCGCCUUGAGUGAAAUUGAUCACUGAUGGUUCCACAGACACAUCUAUCCCCGCCGGAGCUUCAGUCACUAAAUGAUAAGUUGCUUCCGCUGGCCCAACGUUAGUUACAGUGCGUUGAAGAAUGACAUGGUCCAUGAGGUCUGGCACAGUGAUCGACGGGAGGUUGAGGUUCAGGUUGUACGACUUGCAACCAUCUGAUAAUUCAAGUGUGCAGUUGAAGAGCUUGUUGUACUCCCUUGCAUCCAGGUCGUAAACAAGGCCAGGGUCAACAGCUCUCUCCGGGUCCAUGUGGCCACCACCAAAGUCAAAUGGGUCGGCUAGUUUCCUCGGUACUCCGUUUGCUUGGAUGGGCAUACCAAACCGAUCGGUUACGUAUGCUGCAACCAAUGCCAAAG
RNAcentral lists this long non-coding RNA (619 nucleotides) under Hordeum vulgare. Its description in RNAcentral is "long non-coding RNA (HVUL_LNC017732)". Lineage: Eukaryota; Viridiplantae; Streptophyta; Magnoliopsida; Poales; Poaceae. The record is from RNAcentral.